UGUUAAAAAUUUCAUCAAUUUCUAUUGUCAAAAACUGGCGUGGCUGUUUAAAUAAUCAAACAGUUACACGUGAUGUGCCACACAAACUCAUUCUAACAUACAAGACAAGUUUUGAACAGUAAAAAUAGAUGAAAUUUUUAAUA
Molecule: non-coding RNA, 143 nt
Organism: Gossypium hirsutum (cotton)
Lineage: Eukaryota; Viridiplantae; Streptophyta; Magnoliopsida; Malvales; Malvaceae
Source: Rfam